CCUUUGAGCUACUACAGCGAGGCUAAGCUAGUGGGGGCAAAGUUUCAGUGCAUUCCGUUGAUGUAGACGGCGUGAAAACAGAAACAACAAGUAUGCCGGCUCACUGUGCUGCAUACAGUUACACACUACGUCGUACGAUUGAGACAAGGAAACUUGGAAUGACUUUUCAUAGGUUUCCCAGAGACUAUGGGUUGAGGAGGAAUUGGAAGUUUGUCGGCUUAGACCUGGUGUCAUUCCAUCAGUGUUAAACUUCCCGGCUCAUCUUGGAAGAGUACGUGCCAGAAAGACCAUGACCAAGCAGCCUUGAGAUCUGAGGCAGCGUCUCCCUCAGACCAAAGAACUACAGACUCUUCACAACCUGCUCAAACUCUUGGUACAGGACCUCACCACACGGGUCAAGAAGGUUUCCGUCUCAUUUCUACUCUGAAGCUCACCUUCUCCUGCUCAAACUGCUGACAAAUGUUUCUGCUGCUCUAAAGUCUGCUCUCCAGAACUUCCUAAAAACUCUCAAAGUCUCUUCUGCUGCAGGUUGCUUUGUAGAACUGUUGCAGAAAACCUCACUAAACCACAUGGAGGGGCCUCAAGAUAGUCCAAAUGAAACCAUACAAAAACCAAACUAGCACAACCCAAACGCUAAAGUCUCCUGCAGCCUACCAGAGAACCUCUGAGAACAGAGAAUCAGGACAGGAACUCUUACCUUCUGGACAAUCAACAUCGGUUCUCAAACAAGAACACAGAAUGUGUCUGACCAAAAACCUCUAAAGACUCACUACAGCCAAGAUAAAGACACAACUCAACUGUACCAAAUCCACUAAUCACUGCAUACAUUAGCACCAUGUGCUAACUGUGGCUAAAGAACCACCUUUACCAAGACAACUAUCCAGUACAAAGCCCUAAAACACACCAAGAAACACAUUAAAGACGAUUUUACUGCUGGAAGCUGCAAGCCAACGUCUAAAGAACAAACUAAAGCAAUGGAGCCAAACCCAGUUCUGUGGUGAAGAGAAGCAGAGGAAAUGUUUGUCUGCAGCUAAAUAAAGCAGGAAGACACUGAGCUGCUCAGGUGUUCCUAAUAACACCAAGCAGCCACCUGGACAGCCAAUAGGAACACAGCUUACUGGAAGUCCAGAGGGCUGGGUUAGUGAAGGAAAUUUAGUUUCAAGUUGAGGCAGAAAGUUAACAAAGAAAGUUGAAAACCACCUUCUGAUACCUGAAAUCUCUGAGUUUUCACACAAAGAACACCUGAACAUGUCAAACUGGCUUCAUAGUAGAACCAUCAUUGUAAAAACGUCAUAGUAUGGUGUGUUGCUCAAAAAACAUUAUGACCCGGCUGUCAGGGGACAAACAUGUAAGAAACAUGAGAACAGAGAGAACCCAACCAGUAGGUCACAGUUUAUCAUCCCCCAGUCAUCUCCUGAAGUCCAUAUGGUGAGAGACAUCAGUAUCUGGUUGUUAAUUUACCAGAGGAUGCUUAUAAUCAUGCUGAUGUGGUCUGUACUCUACAGUAUUUUAGUGACUCAAUAAAUGCCUAAGUUGUUUUUUUUUUAAUGCUUUUCAGUUUUUAAUAAACAUUUAAGAGCCAAUAUGUAAUCAAUAAAUGGCCUUUAUCUAUCUUAAGAAAAAUUCACUCAGACCUCUGAUAUGUUAACAGUACUAAAUAAAUCAAUAAAUACAUGCAUACACACAAAAAUAAGUUAAUACAUUAACUGUGUUAAGAUAAGAUUUAGAUUUUUUUAAAAAAAGUUAUGUUUUUGCAGAAUCCAGUAUUGCUCACUGGUUGGUCAUUACAUUUUAUUAGUUUGAUUUCACUGUUUAAAAUGAUGCCACCUCUUUUCAGACAGAACCUGUGAUAAUAAAACAAUACAAAAUUUUUAGUUCCGUGUUAAUAAAGCACUUAAAGCUUUAAGUAUGGCUAAAUGCUUUUUUCAAAAUUAAAUAUAUCACUCCUUAGGUGUUAGUGGCCCCAAGUUCAGUAAAGUUGGAAAGAUAUUCACAGAUUUGGACUUCCAGCAUCAAUAACUCAUUAGAUAUAGGUUGUCAAAACAUAAACGGUGCCUCUUUCCCAUUGUUGCAAGGCAGACAAUGUGCUACAACCCCAGUUUUAUCAAAAGUAGCUGUCUUUCAAGCUACAGGAAUAACAUUGGUGUCUAUGGAGUGAACAGGGUCCGUCUGCAAUUUGCAAAACCGCUGCAACAGUAAAGAGAGACAAAUAUUCAAUAACUUCACUCUUAUACAUUGUAGUGUCACUAAAAUCACUGCAGCCUUCAACUGGCUCCUGUUGACAAAAUGUUUAAACAGAAAUGUAAAUGCUGUAAUUUGAUUCUUUUAAUGAACUAUGUAACUUGAAUGGAUGUGAUGCUGGUAUGACCACAGUGCACACGUCUGAUGUUGCUCACAGUGGUCCAAGGGACGCUCAGGGAGUUUGUGUGUUUGCUCAGACUCAUGAAAAAUUAGAGGGAACAUUGUUUGGGACUCAAGCAGUUCCUUCUUUUACUCACUAUCUCCCCAGCCUUAGGAAAAAAAAACCUGUUCACACGGCACAGAUGAGGCUGAGGUACACAGGAAAUGUUUGGCUCCAUUGUACAAGUUUGGGUAAACGGUUUUGUGGGUUGCCCAGUAAGCCAGUGGGUCUGCCGUUCUUUCUACAAUUGCUUUGCAUUUGCCAGGCUCUACUUGCGUCUUCGUCUAAUAGGCUCCACAGUUGAACUGAAAAAUAUUGAAGAUCAUCAUCAUCAUCACCAGAAAUGUCAGUCAUUCCCUAUUCAGAAGAGAAAAAGAAUACCUGUGGAAGGUGCUGCUGGUGGUGGAGGACGAGGCUGUGGUGGUGCUUGUGACGUAGAUGACUGCUGCUUGGCAUUCUUUAUGUUAACUGUUGUGCAUUCUGUUAUUAAAUGUUCUUUCACACUGGC
Long non-coding RNA from Amphiprion ocellaris (clown anemonefish), 2909 nucleotides. RefSeq lists it as uncharacterized. NCBI's taxonomy places the organism in Eukaryota, Metazoa, Chordata, Actinopteri, Pomacentridae. The transcript has 3 exons. The record is from RefSeq and is a predicted model, not a curated record.